RNAcentral lists this ribosomal RNA (265 nucleotides) under uncultured bacterium. RNAcentral describes it as "partial 16S ribosomal RNA". It matches the Rfam family "Bacterial small subunit ribosomal RNA", at positions 29 to 289 of the family's 1533-position model. The record is from RNAcentral.
AUGAACGCUGGCGGCGUGCUUAACACAUGCAAGUCGAACGAUUAAAGCUCACUUCGGUGAGUGUAUAGAGUGGCGAACGGGUGAGUAACACGUGGGAAACCUGCCCCUUUCUUCGGGAUAACUUCGGGAAACCGUUGCUAAUACCGGAUACUCCGGGAUGGUCGCAUGGCCGACCCGGGAAAGCUUUAUAGUGGAAAGGGAUGGUCCCGCGGCCCAUUAGCUUGUUGGUGGGGUAAUGGCCUACCAAGGCGAUGAUGGGUAGCCG